GAGAGGAACUUGUUCCUCGAGUCGUUGAUUUCACACUGCCGAGAAAAGCCUCUAGCUAGAAUAACGGUGCCCGUACCGCAAACCGACACAGGUAGUCAAGAUGAGAAUUCUAAGGUGAGCGAGCGAACUCUCGUUAAGGAACUCGGCAAAAUGACCCCGUAACUUCGGGAGAAGGGGUGCUCUUUGAGGUUCACGCUUCGAAGAGCCGCAGUGAAUAGGCCCAAGCGACUGUUUAUCAAAAACACAGGUCUCUGCUAAACCGUAAGGUGACGUAUAGGGGCUGACGCCUGCCCGGUGCUGGAAGGUUAAGAGGAGUGGUUAGCGCAAGCGAAGCUACGAAUCGAAGCCCCAGUAAACGGCGGCCGUAACUAUAACGGUCCUAAGGUAGCGAAAUUCCUUGUCGGGUAAGUUCCGACCCGCACGAAAGGCGUAACGAUUUGGGCACUGUCUCAACGAGAGACUCGGUGAAAUCAUAGUACCGGUGAAGAUGCCGGUUACCCGCGACAGGACGGAAAGACCCCGUGGAGCUUUACUGUAGCCUGAUAUUGAAAUUCGGUACAGUUUGUACAGGAUAGGUAGGAGCCUUAGAAGCGUGAGCGCUAGCUUACGUGGAGGCAUUGGUGGGAUACUACCCUAAUUGUAUUGGAUUUCUAACCCGCAGCACUUAUCGUGCUGGGAGACAGUGUCAGGCGGGCAGUUUGACUGGGGCGGUCGCCUCCUAAAGAGUAACGGAGGCGCUCAAAGGUUCCCUCAGAAUGGUUGGAAAUCAUUCAUAGAGUGUAAAGGCAUAAGGGAGCUUGACUGCGAGACCUACAAGUCGAGCAGGGUCGAAAGACGGACUUAGUGAUCCGGUGGUUCCGCAUGGAAGGGCCAUCGCUCAACGGAUAAAAGCUACCCCGGGGAUAACAGGCUUAUCUCCCCCAAGAGUUCACAUCGACGGGGAGGUUUGGCACCUCGAUGUCGGCUCAUCGCA
Molecule: ribosomal RNA, 973 nt
Filed under: Staphylococcus pseudintermedius
Lineage: Bacteria; Bacillati; Bacillota; Bacilli; Caryophanales; Staphylococcaceae
Description: partial 23S ribosomal RNA
Rfam family: Bacterial large subunit ribosomal RNA
Source: RNAcentral